AGACCCGAAACCCGGUGAUCUAGCCAUGGGCAGGUUGAAGGUUGGGUAACACUAACUGGAGGACCGAACCGACUAAUGUUGAAAAAUUAGCGGAUGACCUGUGGCUGGGGGUGAAAGGCCAAUCAAACCGGGAGAUAGCUGGUUCUCCCCGAAAGCUAUUUAGGUAGCGCCUCGUGAAUUCAUCUCCGGGGGUAGAGCACUGUUUCGGCUAGGGGGCCAUCCCGGCUUACCAACCCGAUGCAAACUGCGAAUACCGGAGAAUGUUAUCACGGGAGACACACGGCGGGUGCUAACGUCCGUCGUGAAGAGGGAAACAACCCAGACCGCCAGCUAAGGUCCCAAAGUCAUGGUUAAGUGGGAAACGAUGUGGGAAGGCCCAGACAGCCAGGAUGUUGGCUUAGAAGCAGCCAUCAUUUAAAGAAAGCGUAAUAGCUCACUGGUCGAGUCGGCCUGCGCGGAAGAUGUAACGGGGCUAAACCAUGCACCGAAGCUGCGGCAGCGACGUUUAUGCGUUGUUGGGUAGGGGAGCGUUCUGUAAGCCUGCGAAGGUGGCCUGUGAGGGUUGCUGGAGGUAUCAGAAGUGCGAAUGCUGACAUAAGUAACGAUAAAGCGGGUGAAAAGCCCGCUCGCCGGAAGACCAAGGGUUCCUGUCCAACGUUAAUCGGGGCAGGGUGAGUCGACCCCUAAGGCGAGGCCGAAAGGCGUAGUC
Molecule: ribosomal RNA, 709 nt
Filed under: Salmonella enterica
Lineage: Bacteria; Pseudomonadati; Pseudomonadota; Gammaproteobacteria; Enterobacterales; Enterobacteriaceae
Description: partial 23S ribosomal RNA
Rfam family: Bacterial large subunit ribosomal RNA
Source: RNAcentral